UACAGAGGUCCCAAGCGUUGUUCGGAUUCACUGGGCGUAAAGGGUGCGUAGGUGGCCGGUUAAGUCUGACGUGAAAUCUCCGAGCCUAACUCGGAAACUGCAUCGGAAACUAUCCGGCUCGAGGGUUGGAGGGGGGACUGGAAUACCUGGUGUAGCAGUGAAAUGCGUAGAUAUCAAGUGGAACACCAGUGGCGAAGGCGAGUCCCUGGACAACUCCUGACACUGAGGCACGAAAGCUAGGGGAGCAAACAGG
RNAcentral lists this ribosomal RNA (253 nucleotides) under uncultured bacterium. RNAcentral describes it as "partial 16S ribosomal RNA". It matches the Rfam family "Bacterial small subunit ribosomal RNA", at positions 524 to 776 of the family's 1533-position model. The record is from RNAcentral.